GACAGAGGCCACAAGCGUUAGGCGGAAUCACUGGGCUUAAAGCGUGUGUAGGCGGACCGUUAAGUGCCUUGUGAAAUCCCACGGCUCAACCGUGGAACGGCUGGGCAGACUGGCGGUCUUGAGCUGCCUAGGGGCGACUGGAACAAACGGUGGAGCGGUGAAAUGCGUAGAUAUCGUUUGGAACGCCAACGGUGAAAACAGGUCGCUGGGGGCAAGCUGACGCUGAGACACGAAAGCCAGGGGAGCAAACGGG
RNAcentral lists this ribosomal RNA (253 nucleotides) under uncultured bacterium. RNAcentral's name for it is "partial 16S ribosomal RNA". It matches the Rfam family "Bacterial small subunit ribosomal RNA", at positions 524 to 776 of the family's 1533-position model. The record is from RNAcentral.